This 403-nucleotide ribosomal RNA is filed under the name uncultured bacterium. RNAcentral's name for it is "partial 16S ribosomal RNA". It matches the Rfam family "Bacterial small subunit ribosomal RNA", at positions 30 to 526 of the family's 1533-position model. The record is from RNAcentral.
AUUGAACGCUAGCGGGAUGCUUUACACAUGCAAGUCGAGCGAGCGGCGGACGGGUGCGUAAUGUAUGGGGACUGCCCGAUAGAGGGGGAUAACUACUGGACACGGUAGCUAAUACCGCAUACUAUCGGAUAACCCAUAUGGGAUUAGCUAGUAGGUGAGGUAAUGGCUCACCUAGGCGCCGAUCCCUAGCUGGUCUGCUAGGAUGAUCAGCCACACUGGGACUGAGACCCGGCCCAGACUCCUACGGAGGCAGCAGUGGGGAAGAUGGCACAAUGGGCGCAGGCCUGAUGCAGCCAUGCCGCGGGUAUGAAGAAGGCCCUAGGGUUGUAAAGUACUUUCAGUCGGGAGGCGUUACCGACAGAAGAAGCACCGGCUAACUCCGUGCAAGCAGCCGCGGUAAUAC